Molecule: long non-coding RNA, 2310 nt
Filed under: Scleropages formosus (Asian bonytongue)
Lineage: Eukaryota; Metazoa; Chordata; Actinopteri; Osteoglossiformes; Osteoglossidae
Description: lncRNA (ENSSFOG00015020346.2)
Source: RNAcentral
GCAGCACUGCCCGCCGAUGGUCGGAUAAGGCGCAGCUUCUUCAACCUACCUGUGAUCAACCCAGACAGACUGCGCACAGCAAAAGCUUUGGUGGACAAGGCUGUGAAGUUGAAGAAGGUGUUUUCUGUGCAGGGUCCGUACCCUGUGGUCCGUGCUGCCCUCAGGGCAAGGGGAUGGGUGGAACGUUACCUCCCACGCCCGACCCCACAGAUUAGGCAUCCCCAUGGAGAUGAUGAUGAUGAUGGCGACAACAGGGAUGACAGUGAUGACAAUGAUGGUCAGCGCUCUUCUCGCCUGGUUCGUAACGAAUCUACGUAUCUCUACUGGACAAUGCGGAGAGAUGCGAUUGACUGUCGCACACUGCGAAAGGAGCAGAUGAUCAAUCAUUAUGCAAAGGCAGGAACUUUCACCACAAAGGUUGGUUUAUGUGUAAACCUAAGAAACCUGCAGUGGUUUGACGCAGCGGACCCAGACACCUUCUUCCCACGUUGCUACAGGCUCGGCGCAGAGGACGAGAAGCAUGCCUUCAUUGAGGACUUCCGGAGGACAGCCUGCAACAGCCUGUUGCAGUACGUUGUUGAGAGGCAUUACAGGCAGCAGCGGGAGGGAGAAGUUGCCAGGGUCAAAGUCACAGGGCCAAGUCAGAAGAAGCAAAAUAAGCGUCGAGCCAUGCAAAUGGUUGGCUCUGGAAUGAUUGACACUGCAUUACAAGUUUGCCAGGACUUCCUGGACUGUUUAGAUCAUCAUGAUAUUGACAUUGCCAAAGAAACUUCAUCUUCUCUCACAGAACAACAGUGGGCAGAAUUUCUUCACAACUAUUACCUUGUUGUGCAUGAUGGAGUGGAAAUGGAGGAUAGUGCUUGGUAUGUCGAUCGAUGUCACACAAUGCUGCAGAGGCUGCAAGCGGUCUGUCCGCAGCUUGACACAGACGGAAUCCAUAACAUCUGGAUUGUCAAACCUGGAGCCAAGUCACGCGGCAGAGGCAUCCUGUGUUUUAAUCGACUGCAUGACAUCCUGAAGCUCGUGGACAGCGAUCCUUCUUUGAUCAAGGACAGCAAGUGGGUGGUGCAGAAGUACCUGGAGCGUCCCUUUCUGAUUCAUGGCACCAAGUUCGAUGUACGCCAGUGGUUCCUGGUUACCGACUGGAAUCCCCUGACUGUAUGGUUCUACCGGGAAUGCUACUUGCGCUUCUCUACUCAGCCCUACUCUUUAGAAACACUGGAUAGCUCAAUACACCUAUGCAACAACUCUAUCCAGAAGCACUUCCAGCCAUCAGAGCUACGUCACCCAGAGGUGCCUGAGGACAACAUGUGGUCAUGUGAGCAGUUCUGUUCCUUCCUGUCCAAGCAGGGCCGGGAAGCCCAGUGGAGGGACAUCGUGGUCCCUGGGAUGCAGCAGGCGGUGGUACAUGCCCUACAGACUGCUCAGGACCUUGUGGAGUCGCGGAGGGGUAGCUUUGAGCUCUACGGGGCAGACUUCAUGUUGGGCCGAGACUUGAGACCAUGGCUGAUUGAGAUCAAUGCCAGCCCAACCAUGGCCCCCUCCACAGCUGUGACAGCUCGUCUGUGUGCCGCUGUACAGGAGGAUACCCUACGUGUGGUGCUGGACCGCCGACUUGACCGGAACGCCUCCACUGGUGGCUUCGAGCUCAUAUACAAACAGCCCGCUGUUGAAGUUCCACAGUAUGUGGGAGUAAAUCUGCUGGUGGAGGGGGCUUCCCUGAGACGACCUCGCCUUGCUUCUCAGAGAAGGAACACCUUCCUCCAAGAGCAUGAAGCCGACGCCCAGCCUAGACCCAGCCAGCUGGGACAAGAGGCAGCUGCAAAAACUGCCAAAUCUGCUGUCCGCAAACCAAGAGCAACUGCAGAGAAGCAAGUGCAGCUCAGGCCAACCAUAUCCUACAACAAGACGCCUGCCGCGACCAUAUUCCAUUCUACAGAAAAUGAGAACCACACAGAGAGUGAGAGGAAAGGACUAGCGCCUCCCUGCUUGGGGUGUCUUGCGAUGGACUGGCAUCCCAUCCUAAGUGCGCCCCCUCCUCCUUCGGUGUUAUGCCCUGUGUUGCUGGGUAAGGCUCCGGCUCGUCGUGACGACAAGCGGUUGUUGAUGAUGGACGGAUGGUAUCCCCAGCACUUUCUAACAACUUCCAGAAUGAGCACAACUAUCAUGUCAAAUGUUACUUUUUCAAGAGAAAUUCACACACUUGUCAUCCACAUAUUUACAGGUGAGCUUCAAGUGUACACCACAACAUUAAUAUGUAUCUCCUUCCAAGCAUGUAACUUAAGGCAGUCUGCUUAUCAUGUUCUGUAA